Molecule: long non-coding RNA, 31427 nt
Filed under: Prunus persica (peach)
Lineage: Eukaryota; Viridiplantae; Streptophyta; Magnoliopsida; Rosales; Rosaceae
Description: long non-coding RNA (PPER_LNC002006)
Source: RNAcentral
GAUGAUCUAGAAGAGAUUGCCUCUUUACUUUGGAGCUGCUUUGACUUUGCAAAAGGGAGGAAAGACAGAGUCUAUUUAGGAACUGCUCGGUCGCACAAAAGAGAGGAGGGACUUGACCUUUCAUGUUUCCUAGCUGCCUAUACAGAAAUCUCAAUAUUAGAGGAGGACUAACUGCUGAGAGUAGUACUUAAUUGUGCUUGGGCAAGAAGAAAAUAGAGUCAAAGCAUCUCCAAAGUAGAGGGGCAAUAUCUUCUAGAUCAUCGUGUUACUCUCCUAAGAACACAGCAUUAAUCAGCCCAAGAAAANNNNNNNNNNNNNNNNNNNNNNNNNNNNNNNNNNNNNNNNNNNNNNNNNNNNNNNNNNNNNNNNNNNNNNNNNNNNNNNNNNNNNNNNNNNNNNNNNNNNAGAAGCUAUUUUGCCCUCUUUAUUUCCAUUGUUCCCUUCAAAGCCUUCAGUUGUUCGUCCUCUACAUGACCAGCUCACACCACUGUAACCACCGUCACACCAACCUCCGGUCCCUACUUCUUCCCACGUCAUUCGUUCACAUGUAUCUUGAUUUUACCUAACCUAACUGAACAACAGAACUGUGGUCCAUAACGAUCAUGUUAGGAUGCUCAAGUGCAUUACAAGAUACUAUGAAAGGGGUAUCUUCGUAUGAAUAAUGAAAUGCUAGCCUUGUUUCCAACAAACCCAAGUCCAACAUGGCUCUCGGAAAAGCUUCUCUUAUUUAACGCAAAGUAUCAUACUCCUCUGCUACUAAAACCUCGAUUUUGAGCACUUCGUUGUUGUUUUAUAGGCAGAAUUGGAAGUACUAAAUGUGCCAAUUAUGGAUUCUUUUAACAUAAUUUUUUUUAGUUGACAACCUUUCUAAUCACUUAGUAAAUUUGAGUCUCUUGAUAAAUCUAAUGCAACAAUUUUACCUUCCCAACAGUUCAAGAAGACAGCCCAAAGUCAAAAAUUCCAUGAUUCUCAAGUGAAUGUAGUGGUUGAACAUCUUCGGCAUUUUCCAGUACCUUAAUACCAUCCUCACUUGCUGAAACUGCUAGCAUUCUUCCUUCCUUUUUAAAUUGUAAACAAUGAGAAUCCUAACACAGAUAUUAAAUCAAGUGUUCUGUGAACUCUAACAUUAACCUCGAAAUAUAUAACAGUGAACGUGAUGACCAAAGGUAUACAACUUAUCACCAGUGAAUCUGCAAACAGAUAACCAUGAUGUUUGUAAUAGCAAGCAAUAGCCUUAUCCAUCGCGGUGAAGGAAAAUGCCGUAUGAACCAAACCUUAAUUAAGGUUCGUCAAUGGGCCGGGUCGGGCUUUAAAGAGAAGAGAGAAAAUGUCGGGUCGGGUUUUUUUAGAAAGUUCAAGCUCGACUCAUGAGCCGGGCUUGAGAAAUUGGGCUGGGCCGGGCUAAGCCCAAAGGGCCCUACUUCAUUAAAAAAAAAAAAAGGUUUAGGGAUUAAACUCACUUAAUUCUAAUAUUUUCACUUCAAACCAAAGUUUCUAAAACACACAACUUAUAAGAUUUUCCACAAAAAUAAUAAAACUAAGUAUUAUUUUUGAGGUUAUUACAUAAUUAGAUCGUAAUACGUUUUAAGAAAUAAUUUUAAAAAAUGAUAAGUAUUAAAAAAAAACAUUUUUUUAAAGGAUGGUAUGAAUAAAUAUGCAAAUAUUUGGUGAUGUGUUCAAGAAAAGUAUGAUUAUAUUUGGUUUCGUGAUAUGAUUAUAUUUAGUGAUGUGAUAUGUUGUGAAAAUCACAUGUAUAUAAUUGUUGAAUUAAUAAUUGACACAAAUUAAUGUGCUAAUCAUCCAAUUAUAAACUAGGAAUGAGUAAAGGAAAGUAAAUGAAAUGAAACAAAUUAUAUAUGUGAUUUCAGUGAUAUAAUUAUAAACCUAAACUCUUAUUUAUACAUAAUGUGGGCCUAACGGGCUGGGUUUUCUUGGGCUUAAUCGGGCUGGGCCUAUGGGUCGGGCCGGGCUUUAGACACCCAAGCCAAAGGCGGCCGGGCCAUCUCAAAGCCCAUAAUGGUCUGGGGCAGGCGGGCCCACAUCAGCUCAUGAGCCCGCAUGCCAAAUAAUGAGGCCUAACUUUAAUUGUCUUGUCCUCUCCACAAUUUAUGAUGCAUAAUUUUUUGUUUAUGCGAGUGAAAGCAAGAUCACUAAUAUUACUGACAUGAGAAUCUAUCUGGCAGAAUUUCAUUUAGAAAAUCCAAUCAACAUAUAAGUAAUUAUAGUCUUUAAAAACAUGGAUAGUUGUAAACGACCAAGAAACCUUGUUACCCAAAUCAAGUUAAACAAUACUAGCAAUCACAAUUCUAGAAAUCGUAAGAGUCACUAUAUGAAAUUAAAAAGGGAAAAGAGAAAGAACCUCUAGGUGGUGCUCGUUCAGAGGGCUUAGGUCCAAGGAGCGGUCCAUCCAUGAAUGGCAAAAAUGCAUCCCGUAAUAAGGGAAAGGCACAGAUGAGCCAUGUGCCUAGAAAUGUUGAAAGCCCUUGUCACAGAUGUGGUGCAAGGGGACAUUGGAUGCGCGCAUGUCGUACGCCCAGGCAUUUGGCGGAUCUCUAUCAAGCUUCACUUAAGAACAGGAAAGUGGAGAUAAAUUACAUUGAUCAUGCUUCGCCAGCCACAGAUGGCUCAUCAGAAAUAUCACGUAAGCUAAACAAGACGCAUCUAGAUGUUUCUGAUUUUGUUACUGAAAAAGGGAAUGAAGGUUAUGAGUCCGAAUUAGAUUAAAUUCCUUAAUGUACUAUUUGUAUUAGCUGAAGUGUUGUUUAAAUUUCAAUCCAAUAAAAGUGGUAAUGUUGUCUUCUUUAUUAAGUCCGAAUUAGAUUAAAUUCCUUAAUGUACUAUUUGUAUUAGCUGAAGUGUUGUUUAAAUAAAAGUGGUAAUGUUGUUUUCUUUAUAUAUUCCAGCUCAUUUUAUUUAUUUGGUGGCAUGGAUGUAAAUUAUGGAUGCCCUCAAAACAAAGGCUAUGGCAGAGAUAUUUGUCUCGCAGACAGCGCAACUACUCAUACGAUCUUUCAAGAUCGGAAGUAUUUCUCAAAAUUAAUGCUUACAAAAGCAAAGGUAACAACCAUAUCAGGUCCUGCAGAUCUGAUCGAAGGUUCAGGAAUAGCCCAAAUUAUGUUACCGAAUGGAACAAUAUUGUCCAUUCCAGAUGCUUUGUAUUCAUCUAACUCCAGAAGGAAUCUGUUGAGUUUCAAAGAUAUACGUUUGAAUGGCUACCAUGUUGAAACAAAGAAAGAGGAAAACAUGGAAUAUCUUUGUAUUACCUCCAGUGAUACCCAAAAGCGUAUACUGGAAAAGCUUUGUGAGCUCUCAUCAGGGUUGUAUUACACAACCAUACGGACAAUUGAGGCACAUAGUGUCAUGGACCAAGAGUCUACUGACUCAAAUGCUUUUAAGCUUUGGCAUGACAGAUUGGGUCAUCCUGGAUCCACCAUGAUGCGCAGGAUCAUUACCAACUCUAAAGGACAUCCCUUGUUGACUAAACAAAUUAUGUUAUCAAGCGACAUCUUUUGCCAAGCUUGUUCACAAGGGAAGUUGGUGAUCAGACCAUCACAACCAAAGGUUGAUGUUGAGUCUCCAUCAUUUUUGCAGAGAAUUCAAGGGGACAUUUGUGGACCCAUUCAUCCCCCAUGUGGACCAUUUCGGUACUUUAUGGUCUUGGUGGACGCAUCUACCCGAUGGUCACAUGUUUGUCUUUUAUCUACUCGGAAUAUGGCAUUUGCUAGGCUUUUGGCUCAGAUAAUUAAAUUACGAGCCCAAUUCCCAGAUUAUCCCAUUAAGUCAAUCAGACUCGAUAAUGCUGGUGAAUUUACAUCUCAGACUUUUGAUGACUACUGCAUGUCAUUAGGCAUUGAUAUUGAACAUCCUGUUCCCCAUAUGCAUACUCAAAAUGGCUUGGCAGAAGCUUUAAUUAAACGUCUUCAAUUGAUAGCACGCACUUUGCUAAUGAAAACAAAGUUGCCAGUUUCUGCUUGGGGAUAUGCCAUUUUACAUGCAGCAUCGCUUGUGCAAUUGAGGCCAGUCGCCAAUAAUCAAGGUUCUCCAAUACAACUCGUAUUGGGAAAUUAACCAAACAUUUCACAUUUAAGAAUUUUUGGGUGUGCGGUAUAUGUGCCUAUUGCACCAUCGCAACGUACUAAGAUGGGCCCUCAACGCAGAUUGGGAAUUUAUGUUGGUGUUGAUUCACCAUCUAUCAUCAGAUACUUGAAAUCCCUGACGGGUGAUAUUUUUACCGUACGAUUUGCGGAUUGUGAUUUUAAUGAGACAAUCUUCCCACCUUUAGGUGGAGAAAAAUCUGUGUCUAAAGAACAAGGCAAACUCAUUCCUGAAAAACGACAUGAAUUAUCCUGGAAUGUAUCCACAUUGUCUCAUCUCGAUCCUCAUACUGCUCAACGCGAAAACGAAGUGAGAAGGAUCGUUCACCUCCAAAGUAUUGCAAAUCAGAUGCCAGAUGCAUUUAAUGAUGCAGCAAAAGUGACGAAAUCUCAUAUCCCAGCUGCAAAUGCACCCGCACGGAUUGAUGUCCAUAAUGGACAAAGCAAUGUGCCAGCAAAUGGUUCAUCUGCUGCACGCCUAAAACGUGGCAGACCACUAGGCUCAAAGGAUUCAGUUCCUCGAAAGAGGAAGUUGAUGGACAAAAUGAAUCCAAAUGAAAUAAAUAGAGAGCCCACAAUUCAUAAUUCAAAUGCCCCCAAAGAGGUACAGGUACUUCUUGACAAGGAAAACGUCAUUGGUGAAACAAGUGCCCCUGGAGUGGCAACCGUACCUGAAAGUCAAGAAAUCUCCAUAAAUUAUACGUCCACUAAUGAAUUGUGGAGUAGAAAUGAGAUGAUCAUCGAUGAUAUAUUUGCGUUCUCAGUGGCUGCUGAAAUCAUAAAAGAUGAUGAUAUUGAACCGCGCUCUAUUAAUAAAUGUACAUAGAGGCAAGAUUGGCCCAAGUGGAAGGAUGCAAUCUAGGCAGAAUUAAAUUCUUUGGAAAAAAGGAGUGUUUUUGGACAUAUUAGUCCAACUCCACCCAAUGUGAACCCUGUAGGUUACAAGUGGGUAUUUACAAGAAAGCGCAAUGAGAAAAAUGAGAUCUCAAGGUAUAAAGCGCGACUCGUUGCGCAAGGUUUUUCACAAAGGCCUGGAAUUGAUUAUGUGGAAACGUACUCUCCAGUAAUGGACACAAUUACAUUCCGUUACCUAAUAAGUUUGGCGGUUUCCGAAAAACUUGACAUGAGACUCAUGGAUGUCAUUACCGCAUAUUUGUAUGGAGAAUUGGAUACAGAUAUAUACAUGAAAGUUCCAGAAGGAUUCAGGUUGCCUGAAGCUGCCAGAAACAAACCACGGGGCAUGUUCUCGGUUAAAUUGAGAAGAUCAUUAUAUGGGCUAAAACAAUCUGGACGAAUGUGGUACAAUCGUCUCAGUAAGUAUUUACUGAAGGAAGGAUACACAAAUGAUCCUGUUUGCCCAUGUGUGUUUAUUAAGAAAUCAAAGUCUGGAUUUGCGAUAGUGGCAGUAUAUGUCGACGACAUGAAUCUAAUUGGAACUUCUGCAGAGCUUCAAAAGACUGUUGAUUAUCUCAAACGUGAGUUUGAGAUGAAGGAUCUUGGAAAGACAAAAUAUUGUCUUGGCUUGCAGAUUGAGCACAGUGCUAAUGGAAUUUUGGUGCAUCAAUCAACUUAUACUGAGAAAGUAUUGAAAUGGUUUGGCAUGGAUAAAGCCCAUCCACUUAGCACUCCAAUGGUCGUUCGAUCGCUUGACACUAAGAAAGACCCAUAUCGUCCAAAAGGGAAUGAUGAAAUGGUCCUUGGUCCAGAAGUACCAUAUCUUAGUGCAAUAGGAGCUUUAUUGUACCUAGCACAAUGUACCAGACCAGACAUAUCAUUCUCAGUAAAUCUGUUAGCAAGGUACAGUUCUGCUCCAACAAGGCGACACUGGACCGGCAUCAAACAUGUUCUACGAUACCUUCGUGGGACAACAGACAUGGGGUUAUUCUAUUCCAGUGAAUCAACCAACGCCCAGAGUAUUAUUGGUUAUGCUGAUGCAGGAUAUCUCUCUGAUCCACAUCAAGGACGAUCACAGACUGGGUAUGUAUUUACAUGUGGAGGAACUGCGAUCUCAUGGCGCUCAACAAAACAAACAUUAGUGGCCACAUCUUCCAAUCACUCAGAAAUACUUGCCCUCCAUGAAGCCAGUCGUGAAUGCGUUUGGUUAAGAUCGGUAAUCCAUCACAUCCGAAGCACAUGUGCCCUACCCUCAACAACAGACACUCCAACAAUUCGGAAUGAGGACAAUGCAGCUUGUAUUGCUCAGAUCACAGGAGGAUAUAUCAAGGGUGACAGGACCAAACACAUAUCACCAAAGUUUUUCUAUACACAUGAGCUCCAGAAUAGUCAAGAAAUCAAAGUCAGACAAAUCCGCUCAAGUGAUAACCUGGCAGAUCUCUUCACUAAAUCAUUGCCGAAAUAUACAUUCCAAAAGUUAGUACAUGACAUCGGAUUACGACAACUCUGCAAGCAAUCAAGUUGGAGCAUGCAAAAUCAAGGGGAGCAUUCAAGAGUCCUCUAACAUAGGACAUAUGCACGUUGUACUCUUUUUCCUUCGCUUAGAUUUUCCCACUGGGUUUUUCCAAGCAAGGUUUUAAUGAGGCAACCAAUCUAGGGACAUGUGGUCUCUAAGGGGGAGUGUUAUAAAAGUCUUGGAGUGGAGCCCACUAACUAUUCAUUACUGUUCAUUUGGCGGCUUUGAUAGAGUUUGUCUGUCACGGGUGAACAGUAAUGAAUAGUGAUGAAUAGUGAUUAUUUUAGCCUAUAAAUAAGAAGAGAAACGGAAAGAAGAAGAAGAAGAAAAAAAAGAGAAUGAAAGAAAAGAGAGAAGAGAAAGCAGAGAGAAAUUCUCCUAGAGAGAAAAUUCAGUGAGCCACAUAUGUUGUAAACACUAAAGUUGUAGCCAUAUUAUUUUAUAGUGAAAGGUUACUGCUGCUGCUCUCCGAGGACGUAGGCAUAGCCGAACCUCGUUAAAAGCUGUGUCUUAUCUAUUUUACGUGCAGCUCAAUAUCCGCAUAUAUUCCAGGUUAUUUCAUAACAACAAAGUAAAUAUUAUCUGAUGUUUCGCUGGAAAACUAGUACUUUUUACUACUCACAUGUUAUUUGAACAUUUCCUAGCAAUACAGCACUAUCAGUAAUAAAUUCAUAAGCAUAAAGAAAAUAUUGAAAGAAAUUAAAUAAGCCAGAUAAUAAGAAACCAUACAAGCAUUCUUCGGAACUGUUAGACUAAUCAGUCCAACUGAAACUGUUUGGUGUGGACCACAAGACUGGUUAGCCGUCCCUUAGUGACAGAUGCCGUAAAAGGUGCUGGCGGAGGCUGAACUAGCGGAAAAUGAAAUAUAUUAAAUAAACAUACAAAUAAAAAUUUCUAAAGAAAACUACUUCCUGAUACAGAGACACCUAAUUUAGGAAGCAAUCGUCAAGUUUCGGAUACCGGUGUGGCACCUACCGAAGGCUCUCCGAUACUUAAGUCAACAAGAGUAGGUUAUGUAGUAAUUUUAGUAAAGUAACAGUAAAGGUGAAAAGUAAUUACCUUUUUACUUGGGCACUAUUCCUCUUUUAUAGAGAAUUGAAAGUGAGAGUUUACACAAAGUUUUGAUGUGGAACUUUGUCCAAAAUCGUUGUAGUGGUGACACGUGUCCAUGGUUCUAGGCUCUGUAACUGAGAGCUUCGGCAGGCUUCGGGUCUAUCUUCGUGCUGGUCCUUCAGUGCCAAAUGUACUUAGUUGAUUAUGGUAUAAACAAUAGUCACCCAACUUUUGUGAUCAAGAAGUGGCUUUUGGGUUGGAAAAUCAAAUCGAGUAUUUUUGGUCUAGCAAGCGCCGUAGGGCGUUCCCCAAUCCCCCAAGUUUGCAAGCUAGAAGUUGCGUCAACCAUGGGGGUAACUUGGUGAAGCUGCUGAGUUGGCCUUUGUUGGGUAGGCGAAGAAGCGAUCCACAGUAGACUAGUUAGUGGCACAUCUAAGUCUUUACUAGAACAAAGUACUUCUACAUAUGGGCUAGCACAAUGUUGGAAUUCUAUUCGGCAAAUAAAAAGUUUUGCAUCAUGCAAAAGCUGCCUCAAUAUAGCUAGCUUAGAGCUUCGCAAGCGCUGCCCUCACAGUUGAGGAGCCACAAUUUUGAUUGACCUAUCACAAUAUUAUUAUUCACCAUGCUCCCUACUCAGUAAAACAUCUUAAAACCUGUAAAUAACAAUAGAAUUUUAGAAACAUUUCAAAUUCCUAUUUGGGAGUGCUGUAUGAACAUUAUAUAAAAAUAAAAACAUUAAUUCAGAUAUGAAUAAACCAAGUAUACCAUUCCUUUGAAUUGCAAAUAGAGAAGGAAACAUAUCCUGCAAUGAAAUUAUCUUAAAAAAGGACUUCUAUGAAACCAAAAAACAAAAAAAAAGUAUAUUAAGAAAAGACAAUAGGAAGCAAGGGAAAGGGUUUUCAGGGCAAGAAAAGAUUUUGGCAUACAAGCAGACAAGGAAAAAUUUCAAUAGAAGCAAACCUUCCCACAUUCAGAUCUUAGCUUUGUAUCAAUAAUGUUCAUGCCCAUUUUACUCUUGUAAGCAGCAACUAAUCGUCUUAUGUGUGCUUCUUUAGCAGCUUUUUCUUCAGCUGUUACUAGCACUUCCCCCGUGCGUAUAACUCUUCCACCAUCAAACUGAACAUCAAUCACAUUUUCAAUCCCCUUCCCCUAAGACCAUCUCCAACCCAAGGGGUGGAAACUCAAAUUUUGAGUUUAGCCUCCAAAAAACUUCUCCAACCCAUGUAUUUUGGGAGGUGAAAAUUUGAGAUGACUCAAAACUGGACUGGAAUUCCAGUUAGAAUUCUGCCUAGACUGAUAAACUCGUGGCGCCCAAAUCUGCUUUAAUAUAUAUAUAUAUAUAUAUUUUAUUGAAUGCUAGGAGAAGCCCACGUGAUGGGCUAUGUUGCUGGCCCGCUUUGACAAGUGGGAAUGAAGAUUCCCUUUCCUUUAUUGAGAAGCAAUGGCUACUUUUUCAAAUGUUUUGUUAUGCUGUUUUUAAACAUAUAUAUAUAUAUAUUUUUUCCAACAGCUAUAAAAUCAAAUAAUCUGAUUCAUUUUAAGCAAUCUCAACGGUAAAAUUUCACAUUCAACGGCUCAAAUUUAAAUCCAAUGAUCAAAUUAAUAUUUAUAAUUAAUCUAAGUCAGAUCCAACCCCAAAACUUAAUCCAAACUCUAUAAAUAGCCAUUCAUUUGGUAAAUAAUCCACCAAAAAUCAUUUUUUUCCUCCCUUUAUUAUAAUUUUUCAUUCUACAUUCAUCAUUGGUGAGAAUGGCCCCAAAACCCCAAAGAAGUGUGAAUUGGAAACCACAAGAAGAUGAGGCAUUGUGUAGAGGGUGGGUUUCUGUCUCUGAAGAUGGGGCUAUUGGCACGAAUCAAUCAAACGAUUCAUUUUGGUUGCGUGUGUACCAAAAAUUUUUGGAAAAUGAUCCAGGCAUGAGCGGAGCCGACGAUCACCACAAGCUAUUGCUUCUCGGUUCAAGAUCAACCAACAAUGUUCUCUUUGGAAGGCAUGUAUAACAAAGGCCAAUGCAAGACAUGCUCCAAUCUUGAAGAUGUGGUGAGUACCCAUUUUUUUCAAUGCUUAAAUUUAUAAUUUUAAUUGUUUUCAAUUAUUAACUUGAUUUUUAUUUUAUUUCAUGAGUAGGAUAUGACUGCAAAAACAUUUUUCUUGAAUGAUAAUAAACCUCUAAAUAGGCCUUUCAAGUUGUAUCAUGCUUGGCAAAUCUUAAAAGACUGCCCAAAAUGGAAUGACCUAUGUGAAUCUCCCACACAAACAUUCAAAGAUUCUUCUCAUAGUGGCAAUACAGUCAACUUGGAGGAAGAUGAAGAUGAUGCGGUCAUGCCCACUCCAAGGCCAUUGGGAAGGGAUAAACAGAAGGAUGAAAAAAAGAAAGGGAAAUGUGUUGAAAGUUAUCUCAACCAAAGUGGUAAGUUCUUGUAUGAAUUGAUUCAACAAGGAAAUGAGGCAAAAGAGGAUAGGCGGCGAAAGUUAGAGCUCCUACAAGAGCAACAUGCAUAUCAAAUCCAACAAGAUAAGGAGGCCAAUGAACGGAGGAUAAUGUCCAUGGACCUAUCCAAAUUUACUCCAAGAAAGAAAAAGUAUUGGGGGAAUAAGCAAGACGAAAUUAUUGAGGCCCAGAUGAAUACAAGUUCCCCCGACAAUCCAGAAGACAACUCUGGAAACUAUUAUCCAAGCCCUCCACAUAGUGAUUAUUAAUUUACGAUUAUUUGUAAUUGUUGUUUAUCUUUAUUUAUAAUUGUCGUUUAUCUUUAUUUCUAAUUGUUGUUUAGCUUUAUUUUUAAUUAUCGUUUAUCUUUAUUUGUAAUUGUUGUUUAUCUUUAUAUAUAAUUAUCGUUAUCUUUUUUUUUUUUUUUAUGAUUGUCGUUUAUUUUUCUAUGAUUAGUUUUUUUUUUUAAAUUCAAUGAUAAGCCAUAUAAUUCAUUAAAAUCACACAACCACUUUUAUAAUUUAUACACACUUUCAUAAUUUAAACACACAGCAUAAUUUAAACACACUUACAUAAUUUAAACACACAACAUAGCUCAUUGCCCCUCUCCUUCGCAUCUCCAAAUGUGGUUGAUCAAAUCAUUUAUUAAAUUGUGAUGCACUUGUGAAGCACGAACUCUAUUAUGAUGGACCAUGUAGUCUGAGAUAGUUUGUCUAUCUCAGUUUAUAUCGUACGUGAUAGUCGGAGUCUUGGUCUUGCUCUUCUAGAUGUUCAUGGACAAUUGUCUUCAUCAUCAGAUUCUGCAUCUAGAUCCUCAUACUCAUCCUCAACAAUCAUGUUGUGCAAUAUUAUGCACGUCAGGAUUGAAUGAAGUUGUUCUUUGCGCCACAUACAUGCAGGUCCCCUAACAAUUGCCCAUUGAGCCUGAAGUAUUCCGAAGGCUCUUUCGACAUCCUUCCUAUAAGCCUCUUGUUUUGGGGCAAAUAGUCUUUUUUUUGGAGUAUCCGGUUGGGAAAUCAUCUUAACCAAUGUAGCCCAACGAGGGUAGAUACCAUUAGCCAAGUAAUAACCCAGAUUAUAUUCAUUUCCAUUAACAACAUAUUGGAUAUGGGGAUACACUCCAUUCACUACAUCAUUGAACAACGGGGAACGAGCUAGAACGUUUAUAUCGUUGUUCGAUCUAGCAACGCCAAAAAAGGCAUGCCAUAUCCAAGUGUCAUAUGAGGCCACUGCUUCUAGAACGACAAUUGGCUUAUGCUUGUAGCCAGUAAACUGGCCUGCCCAAGUAGUGGGGCAGUUCUUCCAUUCCCAAUGCAUGCAGUCAAGACUGCUUAACAUGCCUGGGAAUCCUCUGCGACUAGCCUUGUGUAAGAGCCUGUAAAGAUCGGCCAGAUUUGGAGAAUGGAGGUACCACUGACCAUACACAGCUUUAAUAACAGAAUAAAACUUUCGCAAACAUUCAAGGGAUGUAGAUUCACCAAUCUACAGUACUAAGCGGUGGAGUCUGCCGAGCAUCUAUAUGCGAGUAUUUGAAAAAUAGCUGUUAGCUUCUGCUCUGGGGAUAGACUUUGUCAUCCACAAGCGUCUAUCUUUUGGGUAAAGUAUGGCUUAUGUGCAACAACAUCCUUCAAGAUGGGAUAGAAAAGCUCUCUUCUCAUGCUGAACCGCCUGGGAAAGUCCACUGGGGGAUAAAGUGGCUUUCACAGAAGUAGUCCUCCAUGAGACUCUUAUGAUGUUUUUCUCUCUUCUGAUUCUUGUAUUCAUGGCCUGCAACAGAACCACCAUGUUUGGAUUGUUGAGCAUAUUGCUCCAGUAAAAACGUAUGGUGUUGAACAGCCAUUGCAACCCUCUGUUAAUGAAGGUCAUCAUCAUCAGAAUCAUCAUUGAAGAAAUUUUGUAUAGCCUUCCCACGUGAAUUCAUUGUAACAAGGCGAAUUGAAGCAGAUCUUGUGGUCAAUUUAGUAGAAUAACACUUCUUAAAUAGACAAGAGAAUGAGAUGACCUACAUGUUUGAAAAUAAUUGAAUGAAGAUAGGAAAAGAUAGAGAAAGAUAAGGGAAUCCAAUAAAGUGAGAUGAGCAAAGAUGAGCAAUGGUUCAUAACGUGAUUGAAACAAGACAAGAUGGGAAAUGGUUCAAAAAAUAAUUGAAUGAAGAUAGGAAAAGAUAGGGAAAGAUAAGGAAAUCCAAUAAAGUAAGAUGGACAAAGUUGAGCAAUGGUUCAGAACAUGAUUGAAACAAGAUAAUAGGGGAUGGGAAAGAGUUCAGAAAAUAAUUGAAGAACACAAGUGGAGGUGGGCAAAUGUUCAAAACAUUAUUGAAUGAGGAUAAAGGAAUCCAAUGAAGUAAAAGUAAAAGUAAAAAUGGAAGAAAAUUAUGGCAAUGGCUUCAAUGAAGGGUUUGAAUUAUUCUGGGCAUACGUAUGGUGUUGUACUUGUUUUUAUUUUUAAGUGAAAUUCUAUUACGUUUUGGAAUUUUAAUUUUUUUAGGUUAAAAUGUUUAGAAAAUUAAAUCACGAGUAUUGAAAUAAAAAUAAUGUCAAGAAAAAACAAUUAGGGGUUAAUCAUUCUUAAACAAUUUAAUAAAGUUGCAAACUUAAAUUAUGAGUCUGCAAGGUUGGAGGAAAAAAAAAAUUUUGAGUCCUGAAAAUACAUGAAUAGUUGUAUUUUGGAGGGUGAAAAUUUUAAUUUAGCCCCAACAUGGUUGGAGAUGGUCUAAAUACAGAAAUACAGCAGCUGUAUCACUAUCGCAUUAAUAUUUCCAAUUAAAAAUUUUCACUAUAUAAAUGGUCAUCUCACAAUACAAAGUUUAUUAUAAUUGUUCACCCGUUUUGAUUUAAUCCUGUCAUGGUAGGGUAAAGUUCCCCAUUGGCUUGAAAACCUUGGUGGUUAACAAGUCAACUUUCUUUGGCGUGCAAGUGUGCCACUGUUAGUUAAAAUUCUAACAAACUUUAUGAAAAAAUAGAUAACUUGCGGCCCAAGUUACUGACUUUAAAUAAGUGAUUGUGAAUUUGGGUGAGGAAUAUCUCCCAAGCAAGUUCUUUUUUUGCCUUAGACUGGUGAGGACUUUACAAUCUAUCACAGUAAACUGGUAGUUCUAGUCAAAAUGAAUAUUGAAAAGAUAGAUCAAACUGUUCCUAAGGAAAAACUGCAUAUUACAGAACUUUUAAGACAAGAGGGGACUGCCAUGUCUAAAAGGUCAACAAAACACUGGACUUCGAUUUCUGCUUGGAUAGCUGUCUAUAAUUCUAGCUGGAUUGGAUGUAUCUAUGCUGGAUUCAAACGUCAACACCUUCAAAUGAUGAGGCUUAGCUAGAAAUCGAUACCAAUUGGGGCAGAGCUUUAAUCUAUUCUAGCCAUGAAGAGACUUGCUGGAUGGGCAGAACUGAGAUUUCUUCAGUCUGGACGGGGCUAGAUUGAUGAUUACUGGCCUGGAACUACACUACAACACUUGUUCUACUUGAUUAUGAGUCAUCCAAGAGCUAUUCUAGCAAUUCUGAGAGCUCAAGACAUCUUUGUAAAUUUGUUGAGGUUUUCAUAUUAUGAAAAACCCGAAUUCUGCUUGAUUUGGCUUGUACUGAACUAAAUUUGUAAUGAGAGAGAGCUCGUUUCCUUUGUAAACCACUUCUCUGAAUUGAACUGAAGUCAGAAACUUGAGUUCUGGCUGGUCUGUCUUUUGUGAAUCAAAGAGUUUGGUUGAUUCAGGGCCUGAAGGCCUUUGAGAUCAACUAAUCUUGUUUUGAAUUUGUCAAUGUGACUUUGAGAGUUUUUGUUUUGAUUGAAAUUUUUUGGCCCUUAAUCCGGUUCACCUCCUCUCAUUUUUAUAGAGACUCUGAAUGAGGGUCUAUUCUUUAAUAUCUGGGGGCAGAUAUUUUGGAAAUGAUUUUUUUUUUUCUUUUCCAAUGCAAAGAAUCAGGAAGUUAUUAAUCUGCUAUGAUGGUCCAUUUGCUUUUUCUAAAAAACCAACUCUCUUAUUUUCUGCUUAUCUCUUGCAAAACAUAACCUACUAUGAUGGUCUAUUUGCUUUUUCUAGAAAACCAACUCUCCUGUUCUCUGUUUAUCUCUUGUAAAACAUAUGGCACUUCUUCAAAUAUCCGUUUAAAAGUGAAAGCCCCUAUUCAUGCUUAAUUUUAUAUGCAUGUAUCAAGCACGUUAAUGUAACACUAACUGUGACAUUAACUGUCACACCGUUUUUGAAGAAACUUUUGGCUUGUAAAGAUCUGAGUUGUCUCCUUGAGUCUGCUCUGGCUUCCGUGCCACUGCAUCAAAAUUUCAAGCGUCCCCCGACUAUAAUCUCAACAUCAGGUGAGUCCCCUUCUGGAAAAUAGUCUGCCAUUGGAAUCCACAGUCCUCUAUACUCCUUAACCGCAGAGCCAAGUCCCACAAAAUCAAUACUUGAAACUGACGAUUUUCCCUUCUUGUCUACUAUCUCAUUCCCCAAGUUUCCCCCAGUACUUUCCUCCAAACCUAUAAGACAAUACAAAUACAAAUUUUACCCCACAUUUUAAGUUACAUAAUUCAUUCUUGAGAAGAAAUCCGAUAGUAUUUUGUGUUUGCUAUCACCUUUAGAAAACUCUAGUGCAUUGCUCAGAAAAAUAAUGGAAAAGCAAACUUAGAAAAAACAUAAAUCAAAUUAAUAACUUAUAGAUUAUUAAACCUUCUACCAUUGAUGAAGAAGCAAAUAAACAAACACCUAAAUUUAUGUAAGUCUACGGCAAGUACCUGUUUCACUUCAAUAGAACAUGGAAACUGUCACUCUUCAGCUCUAAUUUCAAAUCUUCUUUUUUCUUUUUCCUUUUUUUUUCUCUUUUCAAAAUUACCUGAAAUUUUGUGCCAUUACUCUUGUUGAUGCCCAAAAUCGGAGGACAUCUUAGGUGGAAGUAGUGUCAAGUGUUCAACAUAACAAGAGGGUUGUGGACCUUCGGCAAGGAGAGAUCCCACGAAAGAAAUAGGGAGGAAGCAAUCAUCAAGUUUCGGAUACCACUGUGGUACCUACCGAAGGCUCUCCGAUACUUAAGUCAACAAGAGUAGGUUAUGUAGUAAUUUUAGUAAAGUAACAGUAAAGGUGAAAAGUAAUUACCUUUUUUACUUGGGCACUAUUCCUCUUUUAUAGAGAAUUGAAAGUGAGAGUUUACACAAAGUUUUGACGUGGAACUUUGUCCAAAUCGUUGUAGUGGUGACGCGUGUCCAUGGUUCUAGGCUCUAUAACUGAGAGCUUCGGCAGGCUUCGGGUCUAUCUUCGUGCUGGUCCUUUAGUGCCAAAUGUGCUUAGUAUGGUAUAAACAAUAGUGCCUCAACUUUUGCGAUCAAGAAGUGGCUUUUGGGUUGGAUAAUCAAAUCGAGUAUUUUUGGUCUAGCAAGCGCCGUAGGGCGUUCCCCAAUCCCCCAAGUUUGCAAGCUAGAAGUUGCGUCGACCAUGGGGGUAACUUGGUGAAGCUGUUGAGUUGGCGUUUGUUGGGUAGGCGAACAAGCGAUCCACAGGAGACUAGUUAGUGGCACAUCUAAGUCUUUAAUAGAACAAAGUACUUCUACAUAUGGGCUAGCACAAUGUUGGAAUUCUAUUCGGCAAAUAAAAAGUUUUGCAUCAUGCAAAACCUGCCCCAAUAUAGCUAGCUUAGAGCUUCGCAAGCGCUGCCCUCACAGUUGAGGAGCCACAAUUUUGAUUGACCUAUCACAAUAUUAUUAUUCACCAUGCUCCCUACUCAGUAAAGCAUCUUAAAACCUGCAAAUAACAAUAGAAUUUUAGAAACAUUUCAAAUUCCUAUUUGGGAGUGCUGUAUGAGCAUUAUAUAAAAAUAAAAAAAACAUUAAUUCAGAUAUGAAUAAACCAAGUAUACCAUUCCUUUGAAUUGCAAAUAGAGAAGGAAACGUAUCCUGCAAUGACAUUAUCUUAAAAAAGGAAUUCUAUGAAACCAAAAAACAAAAACAAAAGUAUAUUAAGAAAAGACAAUAGGGCAAGGGAAAGGGUUUUCAGGGCAAGAAAAGAUUUUGGCAUACAAGCAGACAAGGAAAAAUUUCAAUAGAAGCAAACCUUCCCACAUUCAGAUCUUAGCUUUAUAUCAAUGUUCAUGCCCAUUUUACUCUUGUAAGCAGCAACUAAUCGUCUUAUGUGUGCUUCUUUAGCAGCUUUUUCUUCAGCUGUUACUAGCACUUCCCCCGGGCGUAUAACUCUUCCACCACCAAACUGAACAUCAAUCACAUUUUCAAUCCCCUUCCCCUAAGACCAUCUCCAACCCAAGGGGUGGAAACUCAAAUUUUGAGUUUAGCCUCCAAAAAACUUCUCCAACCCAUGUAUUUUGGGAGGUGAAAAUUUGAGAUGACUCAAAACUGGACUGGAAUUCCAGUCAGAAUUCUGCCUAGACUGAUAAACUUGUGGCGCCUAAAUCUGCUUUAAUAUAUAUUUUUUUUUUGAAUGCUAGGAGAAGCCCACGUGAUGGGCUAUGUUGCUGGCCCGCUUUGACAAGUGGGAAUGAAGAUUCCCUUUCCUUUAUUGAGAAGCAAUGACUACUUUUUCAAAUGUUUUGUUAUGCUGUUUAAAAAUAUAUAUAUAUUCCAACAGCUAUAAAAUCAACGAUUCUGAUUCAUUUUAAGCAAUCUCAACAGUAAAAUUUCAUAUCCGACGGCUCAAAUUUAAAUCCAAUGGUCAAAUUAAUAUUUAUAAUUAAUCUAAGUCAAAUUAAUAUUUAUAAUUAAUCUAAGUCAGAUCCAACCCCAAAACUUAAUCCAAACUCUAUAAAUAGCCAUUCAUUUGGUAAAUAAUCCACCAAAAUCAUUUUUUUCCUCCCUUUAUUAUAAUUUUUCAUUCUACAUUCAUUAUUGUUGAGAAUGGCCCCAAAACCCCAAAGAAGUGUGAAUUGGAAACCACAAGAAAAUGAGGCAUUGUGUAGAGGGUGGGUUUCUGUCUCUGAAGAUGGGGCUAUUGGCACGAAUCAAUCAAACGAUUCAUUUUGGUUGCGUGUGUACCAAAAAUUUUUGGAAAAUGAUUCGGGCAUGAGCGGAGCCGGGGUACGAUCACCGCAACCUAUUGCUUCUCCGUUCAAGAUCAUCAACCAACAAUGUUCUCUUUGGAAGGCAUGUAUAACAAAGGCCAAUGCAAGGCAUGUGAGUGGCUCCAAUCUUGAAGAUGUGGCGAGUACCCAUUUUUUUCAAUGCUUAAAUUUAUAAUUUUAAUUGUUUUCAAUUAUUAACUUGAUUUUUUUUUUUUAUUUCAUGAGUAGGAUAUGAAUGCAAAAACACUUUUCUUGAAUGAUAAUAAACCUCUAAAUAGGCCUUUCAAGUUGUAUCAUGCUUGGCAAAUCUUAAAAGAUUGCCCAAAAUGGAACGACCUAUGUGAAUCUCCCACACAAACAUUCAAAGAUUCUUCUCAUAGUGGCAAUACAGUCAACUUGGAGGAAGAUGAAGAUGAUGUGGUCAUGCCCACUCCAAGGCCAUUGGGAAGAGAUAAACAGAAGGAUGAAAAAAAGAAAGGGAAAUGUGUUGAAAGUUAUCUCAACCAAAGUGGUAAGUUCUUGUCUGAAUUGAUUCAACAAGGAAAUGAGGCAAAAGAGGAUAGGCGGCGAAAGUUAGAGCUCCUACAAGAGCAACAUGCAUAUCAAAUCCAACAAGAUAAGGAGGCCAAUGAACGAAGGAUAAUGUCCAUGGACCUAUCCAAAUUUACUCCAAGAAAGAAGAAGUAUUGGGGAAUAAGCAAGACGAAAUUAUUGAGGCCCAGAUGAAUACAAGUUCCCCCUACAAUCCAGAAGACAACUCUGGAGACUAUUAUCCAAGCCCUCCACAUAGUGGUUAUUAAUUUACGAUUAUUUGUAAUUGUUGUUUAUCUUUAUUUAUAAUUGUCAUUUAUCUUUAUUUCUAAUUGUUGUUUAGCUUUAUUUUUAAUUAUCGUUUAUCUUUAUUUGUAAUUGUUGUUUAUCUUUAUAUAUAAUUAUCGGUAUCUUUUUUAAUUUUAUUUUAUGAUUGUUGUUUAUUUUUCUAUGAUUAGUUUUUUUAAUUAUAAAUUCAAUGAUAAACCAUAUAAUUCAUUAAAAUCACACAACCACUUUUAUAAUUUAUACACACUUUCAUAAUUUAAACACACAGCAUAAUUUAAACACGCUUAUAUAAUUUAAACACACUUACAUAAUUUAAACACACAACAUAGCUCAUUGCCCCUCUCCUUCGCAUCUCCAAAUGUGGUUGAUCAAAUCAUUUCUUAGAUUGUGACGCACUUGUGAAGCACGAACUCUAUUAUGAUGGACCAUGUAGUCUGAGAUAGUUUGUCUAUCUCAGUUUAUAUCGUACGUGAUAGUUGGAGUCUUGGUCUUGCUCUUCUAGAUGUUCAUGGACAAUUGUCUUCAUCAUCAGAUUCUGCAUCUAGAUCCUCAUACUCAUCCUCAACAAUCAUGUUGUGCAAUAUUAUGCACAUCAUCAUGAUUGAAUGAAGUUGUUCUUUGCGCCACAUACAUGCAGGUCCCCUAACAAUUGCCCAUUGAGCCUGAAGUAUUCCGAAGGCUCUUUCGACAUCCUUCCUAUAAGCCUCUUGUUUUUGGGCAAAUAGUCUUUUUUUUGGAGUAUCCGGUUGGGAAAUCAUCUUAACCAAUGUAGCCCAACGAGGAUAGAUACCAUCAGCCAAGUAAUAACCCAGAUUAUAUUCAUUUCCAUUGACAACAUAUUGGAUAUGGGGAGACACUCCAUUCACUACAUCAUUGAACAACGGAGAACAAGCAAGAACGUUUAUAUCGUUGUUCGAUCUGGCAAUGCCAAAAAAGGCAUGCCAUAUCCAAGUGUCAUACGAGGCCACUUCUUCUAGAACGACAGUUGGCUUAUGCUCGUAGCCAGUAAACUGGCCUGCCCAAGUAGUGGGGCAGUUCUUCCAUUCCCAAUGCAUGCAGUCAAGACUGCUUAACAUGCCUGGGAAUCCUCUGCGACUAGCCUUGUGUAAGAGCCUGUAAAGAUCGGCCGAAUUUGGGGAAUGGAGGUACCACUGACCAUACACAGCUUCAAUAACAGAAUAAAACUUUCGCAAACAUUCAAGGGAUGUAGAUUCACAAAUCUACAGUACUAAGCGGUGGAGUCUGCCGAGCAUCCAUAUGCGAGCAUUCGAAAAAUAGCUGUUAGCUUCUGCUCUGGGGACAGACUUUGUCGUCCACAAGCGUCUAUCUUCUGGGUAAAGUAUGGCUCAUGUGCAACAACAUCAUUCAAGAUGCGAUAGAAAAGCUCUCUUCUCAUGCUGAACCGCCUGCGAAAGUCCACUGAGGGAUAAAGUGGCUUUCACAGAAGUAGUCCUCCAUGAGACUCUUAUGAUGUUUUUCUCUCUUUUGAUUCUUGUAUUCACGGCCUGCAACAGAACCACCAUGUUUGGAUUGUUGAGCAUAUUGCUCCAGUAAAAAUGUAUGGUGUUGAAUAGCCAUUGCAACCCUCUGUUGAUGAAGGUCAUCAUCAUCAGAAUCAUCAUUGAAGAAAUUUUGUAUAGCCUUCCCACGUGAAUUCAUUGUAAGAAGGAGAAUUGAAGCAGAUCUUGUGGUCAAUUUAGUAGAAUAACACUUCUUAAAUAGACAAGAGAAUGAGAUGACCUACAUGUUUGAAAAUAAUUGAAUGAAGAUAGGAAAAGAUAGAGAAAGAUAAGGGAAUCCAAUAAAGUGAGAUGAACAAAGAUGAGCAAUGGUUCAUAACGUGAUUGAAACAAGACAAGAUGGGAAAUGGUUCAAAAAAUAAUUGAAUGAAGAUAGGAAAAGAUAGGGAAAGAUAAGGAAAUCCAAUAAAGUAAGAUGAACAAAGUUGAGCAAUGGUUCAGAACAUGAUUGAAACAAGAUAAUAGGGGAUGGGAAAGAGUUCAGAAAAUUAUUGAAGAACAUAAGUGGAGGUGGGCAAAAGUUCAAAACAUUUUUGAAUGAGAAUAAAGGAAUCCAAUGAAGUAAAAGUAAAAGUAAAAAUGGAAGAAAAUUAUGGCAAUGGCUUCAAUGAAGGGUUUGAAUUAUUCUGGGCAUACGUAUGGUGUUGUACUUGUUUUUAUUUUUAAGUGAAAUUCUAUUACAUUUUGGAAUUUUAAUUUUUUUAGGUUAAAAUGUUUAGAAAAUUAAAUCACGAGUAUUGAAACAAAAAUAAUGUCAAGAAAAAUUAACAAGAAAAAAAAAAUUAGGGGCUAAUCAUUCUGAAACAAUUUAAUAAAGUUGCAGACUCAAAUUAUGAGUCUGCAAGGUUGGAGGAAAAAAAAAAAUUUGAGUCCUGAAAAUACAUGUAUAGCUGUAUUUUGGAGGGUGAAAAUUUGAGUAUAGCUGUAUCACUAUCGCAGUAAUAUUUCCAAUUAAAAAAUUUCACUCUAUAAAUGGUCAUCUCACAGUACAAAGUUUAUUAUAAUUGUUCACCCGUUUUGAUUUAAUCCUGUCAUGGUAGGGUAAAGUUCCCCAUUGGCUUGAAAACCUUGGUGGUUAACAAGUCAACUUUCUUUGGCGUGCAAGUGUGCCACUGUUAGUUAAAAUUCUAACAAACUUUAUGAAAAAAUAGAUAACUUGCGCCCCAAGUUACUGACUUUAAACAAGUGAUUGUGAAUUUGGGUGAGGAAUAUCUCUCAAGCAAGUUCUUUUUUUGCCUUAGACUAGUGAGGACUUUACAAUCUAUCACAGUAAACUGGUAGUUCUAGCCAAAAUGAAUAUUGAAAGAUAGAUCAAACUGUUUCUAAGGAAAAACUGCAUAUUACAGAACUUUUAAGACAAAAGAGGACUGCCAUGUUUGAAAGGUCAACAAAACACUGGACUUCGAUUUCUGCUUGGAUAGCUGUCUGUAAUUCUAGCUGGAUUGGAUGUAUCUAUGUUGGAUUCAAACGUCAACACCUUCAAAUGAUGAGGCUUAGCUGGAAAUCGAUACCAAUUGGGGCAGAGCUUUAAUCUAUUCUAGCCAUGAAGAGACUUGCUGGAUGGGCAGAACUGAGAUUUCUUCAGUCUGGACGGGGCUAGAUUGAUGAUUACUGGCCUGGAACUACACUACAACACUUGUUCUGCUUGAUUAUGAGUCAUCCAAGAGCUAUUCUAGCAAUUCUGAGAGCUCAAGACAUCUUUGUAAAUUUGUUGAGGUUUUCAUAUUAUGAAAAACCCGAAUUCUGCUUGAUUUGGCUUGUACUGAACCAAAUUUGUAAUGAGAGAGAGCUCGUUUCCUUUGUAAACCGUUUCUCUGAAUUGAACUGAAGUCAGAAACUUGAGUUCUGGCUAGUCUGUCUUUUGUGAAUCAAAGAGUUUGGUUGCUUCAGGGCCUGAAGGCCUUUGAGAUCAACUAAUCUUGUUUUGAAUUUGUCAAUGUGACCUUGAGAGUUUUUGUUUUGAUUGAAAUUUUUUGGCCCUUAAUCCGGUUCACCUCCUCUCAUUUUUAUAGAGACUCUGAAUGAGGGUCUAUUCUUUAAUAUCUGGGGGCAGAUAUUUUGGAAAUGAUUUUUUUUUUCUUUUCCAAUGCAAAGAAUCGGGAAGUUUUUAAUCUGCUAUGAUGGUCCAUUUGCUUUUUCUGAAAAACCAACUCUUUUGUUUUAUGCUUAUCUCUUGCAAAACAUAACCUACUAUGAUGGUCUAUUUGCUUUUUCUAGAAAACCAACUCUCCUGUUCUCUGUUUAUCUCUUGUAAAACAUAACCUGCUAACAGGACCCGACCCAAAUUCCACUUUGGAAUCCGAGCCAGACCCUAUGCGUGUCUGACACCUGGCGGAUGUCAGGCACGAAUGACCUAAUUGCCCAACAAAGCCCGAUAAAAUAACAAGGUUGACUCCUACCGAAAAAUCGGCAGAGUCUCCCUUGUAACUGGAUCAAUACCCAAAAACCUACACCUGCCAAACAAGCAUAUAUACACAACCAACUGCCAGCAUACGUAUAUAUACAUUCCAACAGUUAAAUUCUAAUUAUAGUGCAAAUUAUUAGAGCGACUACUAAGAAUUUACAACGGAGUCAAUUCUUUUACAAAAAAAAGCUCUACAUCAGAAAGGAAAGCGCGGAAGGUGGAAAACGGCCUGGUGGUGGAUCACUGUGCACGCCUACUGCCUGGGGGCGCAAAACAUUAAAAGGGUGAGUGGACCCAAAAACAAAGUUUAGAAAAAUACAUAUGAACAUAUUAACCCACACUGUAAAAACAAUUAUACAAACUAAAUUAUAUAUAUAUAUAUAUAUGCCAAUCAUACUCAUGGUCAACAUUAAUUUCUUGAAAGCAUUGAAAACGGUUUAAAACUACCACCUAGGUGUACCCCUUAUUUCCGUCAAUUCCUCGCAUCACCAUGGGUGACACGUACUCGCAAGUCUCAGUGACACAAGGUCAGUCCGAGCCGCAACUCUUAGGAUUCAGAGGACCGUAGUCAGCCUAAUCCACAUUACUCGCUCCACACGAGUUCGGGUACCAUAGAACUACUAUGAUGGUCAAUUUGUUUUUUCAUGCAAACAACUCUCCUGCUUCGUGUUUAUCUCUUGAAAACGUAACCUGCUAUGCUAUGAUGCAUAGUCUUUCUGCGUAUAGAAAGGAAACCUGGUCUUCUUUUCCUAGCAUUUUAAAUGGACAUGGAGAGUGUUUUCUGGUUAACCUGCUUUUAUUAACUCCACAUCACUUCCUCUGCCUUAGUUGAAAACUUUGACUUUCAAAGUCAGAAAGUCACAUGGGUUCUUUUUUAGAAAAGAUCUUCCCAAAAAAAUCUGUUGACUUGCAUUCUGGGAUUGAGAUUAACGGUGAUGAGAGCUUUUUAGAAGCUGGACCUAAUCCUGAAAUCAAUUUAGAAGUUUGAUUUGUCCACAUCAAGUCGCCAUUUAAUGGCGAUUAAUCUUUAAUCUAUGAUUCUAAUCCUUACUAAUUUGUUUCACAAAGGUCUGGGCCUCUAAAACCAUUUGGGCUGAUUUCUGACUUCAAAUAAAGCGCAAACUUCUGUUUUCUGAUUAGACCAAUGAAAAUUGGGUUGUCGUGUAGAAUUUAAGGCCAAACAAUAGCGAAUCCAUUUACAGUACAAACCAAUGCAAAGUUCAAGGAGAUAAACCAAUUGUCUUGUUGCCAUCAGGUCAGAUAAAUAACAUCAAUCUAUGGUCAAAUUAGUUCAUGAAAGAAUUUUGGACCUGUUUCUUCAAAAGUUUUAAACACCAAACAGUAACUAGAAUACACAAUACCAGUGGAAACUUGAAACAUGAUCAAACAAAAUAUAAGUGAACAUCUUCCCUACAUGAUAUGUACUAGGAUUAUUUACUGUAGAUGUCCUUGAACUUGGCCCCCAUUUGCAAUUGGGUUCGUGAACUUUUUUUUUGAGACAAUUACAUCCGUUAACUCGAUAAAUAGUUCCAAUUGGGUCCUGCCAUCCAACUCAGUCAAUUUGUCUGUCAAAAUGAGGGGGUAAAAACAUUCUUUCGGGUUCUUCAUCUAGCAUUGACCCCAACUCCACCUUUUUCUUCCAUCAUUGACCCAACAAACCCACCUCCAGAAUCUGACUAUUUUGGAAAGCCACCUUGUUCUUCCAUCAUCAAUUCAACAACCCCACCUCAAGAAUCUGACUAUUUUGGAAAGCCAUUUGUUAGAGGAGACUUUGUGCAUAAAAUUCCAACGUUUUGGAAUUUCAGAAAGACAAAAAAAAAAAAAAAAAAAAGCAGCGAGAGAGAAACUUACCCUACCUAACAAUUCUCUUCUUCAUGGAAACUUCUCAAUUCCACAAUCUCUUGGCCUCUUCCCGUGGUUUUCACCUUUUCUUUUGCUUUCGUUUGUGUUCAUCAGUCUCCCUCUUUGUCUCUCCCUCUCUCUCCCGCAACUUAUUCCCCCUCCUCCUUCAAAAUCCAGAUCCCAACCCAACCUGCAAAAACUUCUUUGCCGAAAACCUUAGUUUAGGUACCUCAAGGAGAUACUUUUCUAGUCAAGAAGAAGAUACAAUACACAACACUCUAUUUCACAUAAUGUACAAAACCCAAAAUCCCAAGUAGACAACUUCAAUCUGUCUUGACAUCAGGACUGUGGAGGGCAAGGUAGAGUACGUUCUUUGGCUUUCUCUCAUUGAUUUUAAGGGGGUUGGGUUGGGAUUUGGGUUUUGAGAGGGUGGGAUAAGGAGGAGGGGGAACGGGUUACGAGAGAAAGGGAGAGACAGAGACGGGGAGCUGAGAGAUAGCGAAAGAGAGAUAGAUGGAUUUGGGUUUGGAUUUUUAAUUUUUAAGUUUAUUUAAUUAAAUAUAAUAUAAUUAUUCAAUUUUUAAAUUUUAAAAAUAUUUUAAUUUAAAUGGACGGUUUUAGCCCUCAAAUUAACGGCCAAAUUGACGGAAGGACUCAAUUGGAACGGAAGAAAGAGUUGAAUGACCUAAUUGCCUAAAAAAAAAUUUCGCGAAACCAAUUACAAAUGAGGGCCAAAUUCAGUCACGGCCAUGGUCUUAAAUAUCGAUAGUUUCGGAAAUAUCGGUGGUUCAAAAACACGGAAAUAUCGAUGGAAAUAUCGGGAAAAUAUCGAUAUCGAUAAAAAUUGGAUAAAAACCACGGAAAUUAUGAUAAAUACUUGGAAAUUUUUAAUGAAACUUUAGAAGAAGUUUAUUUAGUCAAUCAUCUAUUAUUUUGACACAAAAAAUUGGAAGAAAAUGCAUUGCAUAGUGGGUUUGUGUGAUUUAAGUUGAUUAUAUUGCGACCUGACAAACUCUGUGACUUAGAAAAUCUGAAGUAAUUAAUGAAAGAGAAUUAAACACUCCUUAGUAAUUUAUUUAUCAUUUUUUAGUACAAUAUUUUACUCUUUAUAAAUUGCAUGAUAAGAUACAUGAGUAACCUUAUUUCACGUUAUUCACUGGACAUGGUACACGUUGUUAUAUCUAUUAAUUUAUAAAAAAUUGAAAAAUAAUUAAAGAUGUAAACCAACUUGAUUUGUCAUGAAAAUUAGGCACUUUAAUAGUGAAGAUUGAAAAUUAACUAAGAACAUAAAUAAAUUUAUCCAGUGAAGAAUUAAAUAGGAAAUAAUGAAAAUGAUUAUAGAAAUUUAAGUAAUUAAGCAACAAUUUAUUUCACGUUAUUCAUUGGACAUGGUACACGUUCUUAUAUUUAUUAUUUAUCAAAAAGUGAAAAAUAAUUAAAGAUGUAAACCAAUUUGAUUUUUCAUGAAAAUUAGGCACUUUAUCAGGCUUAAAAAAUAAUAGUGAAGAUUAAAAAUUAACUAAGAACAUAAAUAAAUUUAUCCAAGGAAGAAUUAAAUAGCAAAUAAUGAAAAUGAUUAUAAAGAUUUAAAUAAUUAAGUAACAAUUUGAAGGAGAAUUUAGUAAUGUAAGUACUUAUAAUGAAUAAUAAAAUAAUCAAUAACAUUAAAUGAAUUAAAUAGAAAAAAAAUAAAUUAUAUUAAGUAAUUAAGUCACAUUUCCCACUUUCCAAUUACUUUCACGUUUUCCUGCCUCCCUCUUCCACUUCCCAAGGUUUUUUUAACCUUUUUUUUUGUUUGAAUUUCCCAAGGUUGCAGAUACAUGCAACCUGCCUUCUCUCUCUCUUUUAGGCAUUCACCCAUCUCUCCCUUUUUAUUUUUUUUUAUUUAUUCUUCUUCCUCUUCCGUUUCACACUCCCACUCUCUCUCUCUCCCUUUCUUCUUCUAUCUCUCCGUCUCUUUCUCUUCUUCAUCUUCCCUCUUCUCUCUCCUCCAUCACAAUCCAAAACACUUAAACAUAAAGACCAACUCCACACAUUUUUUCCCUCUUCUUCCCUUCUCUCUCUCGCUCUUCUCUAUCUGCUUUUUUUUUUUUUUUCUUUCUUCUUCUAUCUCUCCAUCUCUUUCCUUGCUUCCUCUUCCCUCUUCUCUAUCGCUUCAUCACAAUCCAAAAUAGCAAAACAUAAAAACCCACUCCAUAAUUUUUUUUUUCCUCUUCUUCCCUUCUCUCUCGCUCUCCUCUUUCUGCUUUUUUUUUUUUCCUGAGUUGAGAGACAGAGAAAGGGUGAGUUUCAGAGGCUGAGGGGUUCAUCUGAAGGCUGAGUUUAAUUUUGUAAGUUCAUAUCGCGAUAUUAUCGAUAAUAUCGCGAUAUAUUGUCCAUUUAAAGCUACAACUUGAACGAAAAUAUCGUUAUUGAAAUAUCGGCGAAAUUAUCGAGGAAAUUAUCGAUAAAUUGACGAUAUAUAUAUGGAAAUGUGCUAAAAUAUCGUAGCCCCAAAAAAACGAUAAUUUCGCCGAAAUAUCGGCGAAAUUAUCGAUAUUUUGUUCUAUGGUCACGACUAAAGUAAAUAACCCUAUUUACUAUGAACAACGCAUCUGCUACUUCCGGAAUCAACUGAGGAAUGCACAUAAAAUGGCCCCUAUCUCUAUGAAACCCUCAGUUUCCCCCAAAAUCCCUACCAUGGCCCUAGCUUCCAGUGUUCGCCUUUCUUCCUCCAUCCUCCGCUACCGCCUCGCUGCCCCACUCUACCCGACCCGAUUUUCCAGUCUCCGUACCUGUCGGAGCUCCGCUUCCUGUCCGCAUCGUCCUCCCGUCCCGGGACCCACAUCCGCCCAAUCAAAGCGAGGCUCCAGGACGACCCCCAAAAGGAGGACCCAGGCGAGGGGCAGAACGGGAAUGGAAGUGUGCUGGUCAAGGACACAAGUGAGAACAGCGAAGAAAGAAUCGUUCGUGUUGAGCUCCACAAGUAGGCCACUGAAGCGUACAUGGCUAUGUCUGUCCUGCUCGGCCGCGCCCUGCUGGAUGUUCGCGACGGUUUGAAGCGGGUGCACCGUCGUAUUUACUAAGGUUGAAUGGUGAAUGAUGUGGGAGCACUACCUGGCUGGAUUUACUAGGUUGAUGAAAACAGCGACAGCGACUCUACGUAGAUUUUCUUUGCGAUUAGCCUUGAAGCCCUGACAGGUGAGCCCGAAUCUCGAUUUUUGUUUUGAUUUGGAUGCCUGCCUGCUUGAAUUGUACACUCACUGGAAACUCAAGUGUCUUUGGUAGUAGUAAUUGCUUUUUCUGAAAUGCAGACAUAACCACGCUAAACCAGUCCAGAUUCUUCAAAGGGAUUUGAAAACGCUCUUGACAUUCGGUGAUGAGUUUUUUGAUGAAGUAUCAUCACUGUUUCUGCCGAUGGUCAUUUACAGGUGUGUUGAGCAUAUUUAUUUUCUGAUUAGUUUGGCUUUUCAUGACACUGCAUCACACAUGCUAUUGUAAAGCAAGCCAUGAUCAUGCAAGUGUUCGGGUUAAUUCAAUUGUGGCGUCUUAAUUGUUGAUCUUGUGCAAUUAGUCAUCCUUGAUUUGCUUUGUAUUGUGGCAUCCAAGUGGUAAGUUUUUUUGUUUUUUUUUUGUUUUUUUGUUUUGUUUUUCCUGAACAUGAAGACAUGGGCUGGCAAGGAAUGCGGGACCUUACAUUUCUUACUUUGACAGGGUUUGCACAUGUAUAUCAUUAGUUUUUUUUUUUUGGACGUAUAAAAAUGACUCUUGGAACCAGUUUCUUCUUAAUUUGUAUAAAAAUGAGGGCCAUUCUGCACUGUUUACCCUUGCUGCUGUCAAAGUCAGGUCCUAGGAGGGAAAAAUGUCUUUUUUAGUAUUAACACAAACUCGAGAUCAAUUCCUGUCUUGAUUUUGUCGUUCAUAAAAUCUUCCCGUAAUUGUGAAACUCCCAGGUUUCUUUCACCAAGUACCUAUGGCCAAGUUAAAAUUGGUAGUCAUAUACAAGUUAUAAUAAUUGUGAAACUCCCAGGUUUCUUUCACCAAGUACUAUGGCCAAGUUAAAAUUGGUAGUCAUAUACAAGUUAUAAUAAUUGUGAAACUCCCCUUGUUUCUUCUUGCAUUGUUAUGUAACGCUGCCUUUUCUUGCUUGGCAUGUCGAAAGCAACUAGUGCCGUGGAUUUUGUGCCUACUUUGAAUUGAAGUAUGCUUGCUCUGAAAAUUAUAUUAUGUGCAAGUUAGCUUAGUUGUUUGUCUAAUAUCUUUAUUUUAUCUAUUUUUUAAGUUUCACAAUAACCUCCUUUAUUUAUUAAUUAUUUUAAAUAAAUAGAAAAACAGAAAAUCUGCUCAUGCUAGGUCCACUAGGGCUGCAAUGCUUUCUAAAAUAAAAAUGUUAAUUGAUGCAAUGUUUUGAAACUAGCUUAGCUUUAAGUGUACCGCGGUAAGGGCUAUGUUCUUUUCAUUCAAUUUCACUUUCACAACUAAGUUCUGUUUUGCUGUUGAUUUAUUUGAUAUGGUAGCAUCUUUUUUAUAGCAGCCUAUAGCAGACAGUGUUAAUAGCCUUAUAUGAAACCUAAUAAAUGAUUGCUAGAUUUUGAGAUCUUGGGUCUAUCAUAACCUUGAGUUUGAAUAUUCAAUGUUAAAGCUUUUAAGACAUUUAUAUCAGAAAGUGCAACAAAAAAGUUUGGAAAGCAAUUAAAAUAUAUCGGGCCUUCCCCUAAGGUCGACUCGAUUAUUCCUAACAAAGAAUCUGUGAACUUUUUAUGUCUUCCAUCUCCUAAAUUGGAUAAACCAAGAGUGGGAAAAAUUUUGAUUUUGAAAACACAACACAUAACCUCAAGCCUUUUUAUAAUCAGGCGUGGAACCUUCUGGCCCUUUUAGGGCUUGGACCCCAUCUCUCCAGCAGUAUCACUUCUAAUAUUUGAAGUUUGGAGAAAGCGAUCAUAUUUUAAUUAUCAUUUCUGGAUUCUACUCCAUUUCUUUUUGAACCUUUUGUCUUUGUAAAUAUUGAUUUAGAUCACAUUAUAAUUGGUUAUUUAGUUCACGUGGUCUCCUGAUCGCUUUGAAAUUUCAUUUUCCAGGAUUUCUCCCUACGAUUCCCACUAAUUCAAGGGCAUGGGAAUUUCGGGUCGAUUGAUGCUGAUCCUGCAGCUGCCAUGCGUUACACAGAGUGCAUAUUGGAGGUAUGUUCAGAUAUUUUAGUUACUUUGAACACUCUAUGGGUUUUUAAUAGUCAUGAUAUCGAAAUGAAUAUUAAGAUCUUUAGGUUAUAUGCUAUUCCAGAAACGGGGCAACCUCUCUCUCUCUCUCUCUCUCAUCCCCCUUCCCUCUCUAUGUAGUGAUGUUGUAAGUAAUUUUUAGUGCUCAAAAAGGCCAAAGAUCUUGUUCCAGAGUGUUUACUUAAUGCCUAUUGGCAGAGUGCGAACGUGCUGCAGUGUUUGUUUAAUGCCUAUUGCACAAAUCCAGGGAACCUAUUAGACAUACACAUGCCUUAUUGCAAAGGCUGGGUGAUAAAUGCAAUAACCUAUUAGACAUACACAUGCCUUGUUGCAAAGGCAAAAUGUUAAAUGGGAAAGAAUAAAUUUACGCCACUGAGUUUGGUUUCCAGCUUGUAUGAAGUACUUUAUAAGGUGUUGCUUUUGAGAUUGGAGUAGGUUUUGGGAAAUACCAGUGGACAAACACCAGGUAAUUUUGCGAAGGUGUGGAAUACCUGUCCAUUGCAGCAAGCUGCCAUUUUUUUCCUUGAAAAAAACAGAAAUGUCAGUGAAAUAUUGCCAAUAUCACUAGAAGGUAGCCUUAGAAAUUUAUACUAUUAGGAAUUUGUUUAGAUAUGAUCCACAUAGAGGUGCAACCAAGAAGCGUGUGUAUAGUGUAGCCUUCAUUGCAAUGCCACCCAUAAUGAUAUUAAUUAACGAUCCGAUUGGAUCAAUUUCUUCGUUCAAAAUGAUUCUGGUUUUACUAAAUUAUGGCUUUCCAUUGUUCUAGAAGUACACCAUAUUUUCUUGACUGAACUUUCUUGCUCAAAUGAUUCAUCACAAUGCUUGGAUUUUCAUUUGGUAUUUUUUGUCUAUUCACAGUAUUCAUAAUGGGCAACCUAAGCAGAUGGGUCUAAAGGAGUUGCUGCAGGUGACUGCUUAAGUUUAAUCUCUUUAUUGGAUUUAUUUGAUAUUGUAGCAUCUUUGCUAAGCACCCUAAGACUCCCCCCAUCUAAUAACCCUCGUAUGUUAUGUCAUAUAGCAGAUUCUAAACACGCGUCCAAAGGAUCAAGAGCUCUGGGGACAUCAGAUCAGGUACUUUUCUCCCUCCCUUGCUUCUGUUAAGUUAUUCGCGUACGGUUCCACUCAUUCUCUUGUCAAUCUGUCUAUUACAGAUUAUGGUAUUAAAGUAUUGGAAAAUGCCGAAGGUGAACUGGUGCGUUCACUUGAGAAUCGUUGAGUUUCAGCAAGUGAGGAUGGUAUUAAGGUACUUGAAAAAACAUUCACUUGAGAAUCAUGAAGUUUUUGCCUUUGGGCUGUCUUCCUGAAGUGUUGGGAAGGUAAAAUUGUUGCAUCAGAUUUAUCAAGCGACUCAAAUUUACUAAGUGAUUAGAAAUGUUAACUAAAAAAAUUAUGUUGCAAGAAUCUAUAAUUGACACAUUUAGUACUUCCAAUUCUGCCCAUGAAACAAACAACGAAGUGCUCAAAAUCGAGGUUUUAGUAGUAAAGGAGUAUGAUACCUUGCGUUAAGUAAGGGAAGUUCUUUCGAGAGCCAUGUUGGACUUGGGUUCGUUGGAAACAAGGCUAGCAUUUCAUUAUUCAUACGAAGAUACCCCUUUCAUGGUAUCUUGUGAUGCACUUGAGCAUCCUAACAUGAUCGUUAUGGACCACAGCUUUGUUGUUUAGUUAGGUUAGGUAAAAUCAAGAUACAUGUGGACGGAUGACGUGGGAAGAAGUGAGGACCGGAGGUUGGUGUGAUGGUGGUUACAGUGGUGUGAGCUGGUCAUGUAGAGGACGAAGAACUGUAGGCUUUGAGGGAACAAUGGAAAUAAGGUGGCAAAAUAGCUUUUCCUUUUCUUGGGCUGAUUGAUGUUGUGUUCUUAGGGGAGUAACACGAUGAUCUAGAAGAGAUUGCCUCUUUACUUUGGAGCUGCUUUGACUUUGCAAAAGGGAGGAAAGACAGAGUCUAUUUAGGAACUGCUCGGUCGCACAAAAGAGAGGAGGGACUUGACCUUUCAUGUUUCCUAGCUGCCUAUACAGAAAUCUCAAUAUUAGAGGAGGACUAACUGCUGAGAGUAGUACUUAAUUGUGCUUGGGCAAGAAGAAAACAGAGUCAAAGCAUCUCCAAAGUAGAGGGGCAAUAUCUUCUAGAUCAUCGUGUUACUCUCCUAAGAACACAGCAUUAAUCAGCCCAAGAAAAGGAGAAGCUAUUUUGCCACCUUAUUUCCAUUGUUCCCUCAAAGCCUUCAGUUCUUCGUCCUCUACAUGACCAGCCCACACCACUGUAACCACCGUCACACCAACCUCCGGUCCCUACUUCUUCCCACGUCAUUCGUUCACAUGUAUCUUGAUUUUACCUAACCUAACUGAACAACAGAACUGUGGUCCAUAACGAUCAUGUUAGGAUGCUCAAGUGCAUUACAAGAUACUAUGAAAGUGGUAUCUUCGUAUGAAUAAUGAAAUUCUAGCCUUGUUUCCAACAAAUCCAAGUCCAACAUGGCUCUCGGAAAAGCUUCCCUUAUUUAACACAAAGUAUCAUACUACUAAAACCUCGAUUUUGAGCACUUCGUUGUUGUUUUAUAGGCAGAAUUGGAAGUACUAAAUGUGCCAAUUAUGGAUUCUUUUAACAUAAUUUUUUUUAGUUAACAACCUUUCUAAUCACUUAGUAAAUUUGAGUCUCUUGAUAAAUCUAAUGCAAC